GGAAGUAGUAUUAAAGCCGCAAGAGAAGGCCACCCUGCAGUUUUCACAGCAGAGGGAGUUCAAGAUUGGGUUUGACUCUAAUCAUAAGAUCACACAGAGACAGAGUUAUAGCUUCAGGCCUGUUCCCACACUUGGACUACCGUAAUUUCAUUGAGCUUCGAUAUAAAUAAUUCAUGAGCUUCAUGAUUUGUUAUCUAAGAGUGCUUUUGAUUCAAUGGGCAUGAAUAGGUUGAACAUGAGCGGUAAUGGAUGGCAUUUGUUUUCCCUAUCGAAAGAAUACUUUUCGUUUUCAGAGGUGAAGAUGAUUUUCCCGUGGAUGUUUGAUGAGAUUCAGUGUAAUACCUGUCCUCCCGCCAUCCCGUUAGCAGCAUUGGAUAAUACUAUCUCCUUCUCUUUCUUCAUUGCUUUAUGUUCUUCAUCGGAAGCGGAUGGAUGAUGGGGACAUCCGGCGAUCACUAUAGCUGCGGAGAUGCAACAAAAAACACUCAAGAUAGCAAUGACGAUGGUAGGCGCAGACAAGGAUGCGACAUAACGGUGGGUAGGCAGAGACGAAUUCAUUUCUAACAUAGCUGGUUUACUUUUCUGGGAAUUGAUUGAUCUGGCAUUUCUGUUCUCCGUUUACCGUU
Molecule: long non-coding RNA, 626 nt
Organism: Neltuma alba
Lineage: Eukaryota; Viridiplantae; Streptophyta; Magnoliopsida; Fabales; Fabaceae
Exons: 4
Source: RefSeq, a predicted model, not a curated record